This 37-nucleotide small RNA is filed under the name Arabidopsis thaliana (thale cress). Its description in RNAcentral is "ATSL011190". Lineage: Eukaryota; Viridiplantae; Streptophyta; Magnoliopsida; Brassicales; Brassicaceae. The record is from RNAcentral.
AGAGAAAGAAGAGAGAGAGAGAGAGAAAGAGAGAGAG